Molecule: ribosomal RNA, 613 nt
Filed under: uncultured bacterium
Lineage: Bacteria
Description: bacterial SSU rRNA
Rfam family: Bacterial small subunit ribosomal RNA
Source: RNAcentral
CCUACGGGAGGCAGCAGUAGGGAAUAUUGGGCAAUGGGCGAGAGCCUGACCCAGCCAUGCCGCGUGCCGGAUGAAGGCCUUCUGGGUUGUAAACGGCUUUUCUCAGGGAAGAAAAAGCCCAUGCGUGGGACACUGACGGUACCUGAGGAAUAAGCACCGGCUAACUCCGUGCCAGCAGCCGCGGUAAUACGGAGGGUGCAAGCGUUGUCCGGAUUUAUUGGGUUUAAAGGGUGCGUAGGCGGCCCGUUAAGUCCGGGGUGAAAGCCCACAGCUCAACUGUGGAACUGCCCUGGAUACUGGCGGGCUUGAGUCCAGACGAGGUUGGCGGAAUGGAUGGUGUAGCGGUGAAAUGCAUAGAUACCAUCCAGAACCCCGAUUGCGUAGGCAGCUGACUAGGCUGGUACUGACGCUGAGGCACGAAAGCGUGGGGAGCGAACAGGAUUAGAUACCCUGGUAGUCCACGCCGUAAACGAUGGAUACUCGCUGGUGGCGAUAGACAGUCACUGGCUUAGCGAAAGCGGUAAGUAUCCCACCUGGGGAGUACGCUCGCAAGAGUGAAACUCAAAGGAAUUGACGGCNGAGACGAGACGACGGACGACGACGAGGGAGGAGG